AUGUGCUGGACGCCCGCCACGGCCGCGUGCUCCUCCACACGCUCAGGGCAGCGCCUCGUCGUCUGGGACCCCGUCACGGGUGAGGAGUUCAAGAUCCCCCGCGUGCCGGCCUACGCGCUCGGCUUCAACGCGGCCGUGCUCUGCGCCGCGGUCGGCUGCGACCACCUCGACUGUCAUGGCGGACCCUUCCGUGUCGCCUUCGUGGGAUGCGGCGAACGUGGCAUCACGUUCGCCUGCACCUACCCGUCGGAGGCCGGUGCCUGGAGCCAGCGAGUUGAGAUCGAGCAGCCGGCGUUUGUUGACGGGCGACCGAGCGUCCUUGUGGGGAACACGCUCUACUUCACCUGCGACCCGUACCUCAAUUUCAAAAUGUUGGGGUACGACAUCGUCAGGCAGGAACUCUCGGUGAUCUGGCCGUCGUCCCAGCACGAAUACUACUCUUGCACCGUCCUCGUGAAAGCGGAGGAUGGCAGGCUGGGGUUCGCCGGCGUGCGGAAUGGCACGCUCUACCUCUGGUCGAUGAAGGAUGGCGCCGACGGAGAGGUGGAAUGGGUGCAGCGCAGAGUUAUCCAGCACAAGACAAUGCUCCGCACUCGUGGCCUCUCGACGCCACCUGAGGUCGUUGGCUUCGCGGACGGCCACGGACUCAUUUUCGUUAGGACAGGCAACACGGUAUUCUCCAUGGAGCUCAAGUCAGGCCAUGUCCGUAAGGUAUACACCUGCAGGUCAAGAAACUACAACGUCAUUGUUGUUCCCUACAUGAGCUUCUGCACUUCAGAUCGUGCUAUGGGCAAACUGCCAUCGCCAUGA
Molecule: ribosomal RNA, 810 nt
Filed under: Triticum aestivum (bread wheat)
Lineage: Eukaryota; Viridiplantae; Streptophyta; Magnoliopsida; Poales; Poaceae
Description: partial small subunit ribosomal RNA
Source: RNAcentral